ACUUACCGCUUARCAUCGAGUGUUAAAUAUGCUAGUCCUUUCAUGAUUAUGUGAUAGGUGGUGCAUGGCCGUUCUUAGUUCGUGGAGUGAUCUGUCUGCUUAAUUGCGUUUCACUAAGGGCCCAUAAAUUCAAGGUAUGUUAGCUCUCGUCGCUCUAUGGACCCCUUAACUCCAAUAUUCUUAUUGUGUUAAG
RNAcentral lists this ribosomal RNA (193 nucleotides) under Neogloboquadrina pachyderma. Its description in RNAcentral is "partial small subunit ribosomal RNA". The record is from RNAcentral. Lineage: Eukaryota; Foraminifera; Rotaliida; Globorotaliidae.